AGACUAUUACAGGUACGGGCUCUGAGAGGAGUAGCCCGGAGAUGGGUACUGAGACACGGACCCAGGCCCUAUGGGGCGCAGCAGGCGAGAAAACUUUGCAAUGUGCGAAAGCACGACAAGGUUAAUCCGAGUGGUUCCUGCUAAAGGAACCUUUUGUUAGUCCUAGAAACGCUAACGAAUAAGGGGUGGGCAAGUUCUGGUGUCAGCCGCCGCGGUAAAACCAGCACCUCAAGUGGUCAGGAUGAUUAUUGGGCCUAAAGCAUCCGUAGCCGGCUCUGUAAGUUUUCGGUUAAAUCUGUACGCUCAACGUACAGGCUGCCGGGAAUACUGCAGAGCUAGGGAGUGGGAGAGGUAGACGGUACUCGGUAGGAAGGGGUAAAAUCCUUUGAUCUAUCGAUGACCACCAGUGGCGAAGGCGGUCUACCAGAACACGUCCGACGGUGAGGGAUGAAAGCUGGGGGAGCAAACCGGAUUAGAUACCCGGGUAGUCCCAGCUGUAAACUAUGCAAACUCAGUGAUGCAUUGGCUUGUGGCCAGUGCAGUGCCGCAGAGAAGUCGUUAAGUUUGCCGCCUGGGAAGUACGUACGCAA
Molecule: ribosomal RNA, 590 nt
Filed under: uncultured archaeon
Lineage: Archaea
Description: bacterial SSU rRNA
Rfam family: Archaeal small subunit ribosomal RNA
Source: RNAcentral